This is a long non-coding RNA of Ricinus communis (castor bean), 1048 nucleotides long. RefSeq lists it as uncharacterized. NCBI's taxonomy places the organism in Eukaryota, Viridiplantae, Streptophyta, Magnoliopsida, Malpighiales, Euphorbiaceae. The record is from RefSeq and is a predicted model, not a curated record. The transcript is spliced from 2 exons.
UCUAUGUGAAAUAUAACUGAUUUAAUAUUUUUUUAAUCAAACUAUAUAUAUUAUUUUCUUAAUUUCAUAAAAUAGGUAAUUUUGUACACUAUUUGAUAUAAAUCAUAAUAAGAAAUAAUAUAAAUAAUAUUAUAUUUACGUAAUAUUAUCUUUUUAUAAUUUUCUUAAUAUUUAUGUACAUCUUUUUUCUAUUAUGUAACUUGUUUUAUUUAAUUGUUAAUUUCUUAGUAUUGACAUUAAAAUGGUAAUAAUUACAUAAAGUAUACAAUAAUAGUAGGUGCCAUCAACAGCAUUAAUUUACAUCUGAUAAAGUAAGAAAUAAUAAUAAUAAUAAUAACGGUAAUGAUAAUGUUCUUUAGGAAAUAAUUACAGUCAUAAAGAGAUGACAGCAUGUGCUAAUUAAUGUGAGCGUCUCAUUAAUUAAAUUAUACGUUUUAACAUUUUUAUUUUCACUGCCAGUUUGGCAUCGCUAAUUGGGACUAUUUUCUAAAAUCGUAUAUAUGAAGGUUUUUGAGUUUUAACAGUUCAUUAUUAAACGGAGACCUUAAAGAGAAUGCAUAUAUGGAUCUUCUUAAGAGUUAUCAAAUUCACAGGCAGAAUCAAUAUAAUAAUUUGAUAACAAGAAACAGCAGUUAGUCUCCAAACUUCAAAAGUCUUUUUAUGGAUUCAAACAAGCUUCAAGGCAGUGAAAUGCCAAAUUUACUGAGUGUUUGCUAAAGAAUGGAUUCACACAAUCAAAGGAUCUAACAAAGCUGCAAUAUAUGAUUUGAAAGCAACUUUGAGAUCUAAAUUCAAGUUAAAAGACCUUAGAGAUCUGAAGUACUUCAUUGGCAAAGAGUUAGUUAGAUCAAAGAAAGGACUUACCAUUUGCGAAAGAGAAUUUGUUCUGGAUUUACUGAACGAAUAUGAACAUUUGGGGUUCAAGCCAUGUACUAUAAAUGUUUAAGUGAACCACAAGUUGGUUCAUACUGAUGAAGACUUAUUAGAAGACCCUAUAGUCUAUAGGAAAUCAAUAUGAAAGUUAUUAUAUUUGACUUUAACUAGACCA